Molecule: ribosomal RNA, 566 nt
Filed under: uncultured bacterium
Lineage: Bacteria
Description: bacterial SSU rRNA
Rfam family: Bacterial small subunit ribosomal RNA
Source: RNAcentral
AUUCCUACGGGAGGCAGCAGUGGGGAAUCUUGGACAAUGGGGGCAACCCUGAUCCAGCCAUGCCGCGUGAGUGAUGAAGGCCUUAGGGUCGUAAAGCUCUUUCGCCUGUGAUGAUAAUGACAGUAGCAGGUAAAGAAACCCCGGCUAACUCCGUGCCAGCAGCCGCGGUAAUACGGAGGGGGUUAGCGUUGUUCGGAAUUACUGGGCGUAAAGCGCGCGUAGGCGGAUUAGUCAGUUAGAGGUGAAAUCCCAGGGCUCAACCCUGGAACUGCCUUUAAUACUGCUAGUCUUGAGUUCGAGAGAGGUGAGUGGAAUUCCGAGUGUAGAGGUGAAAUUCGUAGAUAUUCGGAGGAACACCAGUGGCGAAGGCGGCUCACUGGCUCGAUACUGACGCUGAGGUGCGAAAGUGUGGGGAGCAAACAGGAUUAGAUACCCUGGUAGUCCACACCGUAAACGAUGAAUGCCAGUCGUCGGCAAGCAUGCUUGUCGGUGACACACCUAACGGAUUAAGCAUUCCGCCUGGGGAGUACGGUCGCAAGAUUAAAACUCAAAGGAAUUGACGGAAU